RNAcentral lists this ribosomal RNA (700 nucleotides) under uncultured bacterium. RNAcentral describes it as "bacterial SSU rRNA". It matches the Rfam family "Bacterial small subunit ribosomal RNA", at positions 8 to 695 of the family's 1533-position model. The record is from RNAcentral.
AGAGUUUGAUCAUGGCUCAGGACGAACGCUGGCGGCGCGCUUAACACAUGCAAGUCGAGCGAGAACCAGGGCUUCGGCCCUGGGGACAGCGGCGAACGGGUGAGUAACACGUGGGUCAUCUGCCCUCGGCACCGGAAUAGCCCGGGGAAACCCGGAUUAAUGCCGGAUGGCCCGACUGCUCCACGGGGCGGUCGGAAAAGGUAGCUUCGGCCUCCGGCCGAGGAUGAGCCCGCGGCGGAUUAGCUAGUCGGUGAGGUAAUGGCUCACCGAGGCGACGAUCCGUAGCUGGUCUGAGAGGACGAUCAGCCACACUGGGACUGAGACACGGCCCAGACUCCUACGGGAGGCAGCAGUGGGGAAUCUUGCGCAAUGGGCGAAAGCCUGACGCAGCGACGCCGCGUGAGGGAAGAAGGCUCUCGUGUUGUAAACCUCUUUCAGGAGGGACGAAGCCACUCGGGUUAAUAGCCCAGAGGGUGACGGUACCUCCAGAAGAAGCCCCGGCUAACUACGUGCCAGCAGCCGCGGUAAUACGUAGGGGGCAAGCGUUGUCCGGAUUUAUUGGGCGUAAAGAGCGUGUAGGCGGCCAGACAGGUCCGUUGUGAAAACUGGAGGCUCAACCUCCAGACGUCGAUGGAAACCGUCUGGCUAGAGUCCGGAAGAGGAGAGUGGAAUUCCUGGUGUAGCGGUGAAAUGCGCAGAU